RNAcentral lists this ribosomal RNA (1401 nucleotides) under Planctomycetota bacterium. RNAcentral describes it as "partial 23S ribosomal RNA". It matches the Rfam family "Bacterial large subunit ribosomal RNA", at positions 1 to 1415 of the family's 2925-position model. Lineage: Bacteria; Pseudomonadati; Planctomycetota. The record is from RNAcentral.
GGUCAAGCUACCAAGGGCGCAUGGGGGAUGUCUUGGCAUUAGGAGGCUUUGAAGGGCGCGGAAGGCUGCGAAAAGCCUGGGGUAACCGUCAAACAGGUGAUGAUCCCGGGAUUCCCGAACUGACUGUAACUGAAUACAUAGGUUGCAGUGGCCAACGCGGAGAACUGAAACAUCUAAGUAUCCGUAGGAAUAGAAAGAAAAAUCGAUUUCCUGAGUAGCGGCGAGCGAAAGGGAAAUAGCCCAAACCGUGGUGGUUUCCACUGCGGGGUUGUAGGGCCCUCCACCGGAGUUAUCAAACAAUUAGCUAGCAGAACGACUUGGAAAGGUCGUCCAUAGAGGGUGACAGACCCGUACGCGAAAGUUAAUUGUCUCUGGAGGGUACCCUGAGUAGGUCGAGGCACGUGAAACCUCGACUGAAUCUACGGGGACCAUCCCGUAAGGCUAAAUACUCCCUAAUGACCGAUAGUAAACAAGUAGAGCGAUCGAAAGAUGAGAAGAACCCCUGUUAGGGGAGGAAUGUGAACCUGAAACCAUGUGCCUACAAGCGGUCGGAGCGCUAUGGCCUUUUUGGCAAUGCGUGACGGCGUGCCUUUUGCAUAAUGAUCCGGCGAGUUACCGUCAGCGGCUCGGUUAAGGCCUUUCGGGCCGAAGCCAUAGGGAAACCGAGUCUGAAUAGGGCGACUAUUGGUCGCUGGUGGUAGACGCGAAACUGCACGAACUACCCAUGAGCAGGUUGAAUCGCGGGUAAAACCGCGUGGAGGACCGAACCCACUUGGGUUGAAAACCGAGGGGAUGACUUGUGGGGAGGAGUGAAAGUCUAAUCAAGCGCAGAGAUAGCUCGUUCUCUCCGAAAUAGCUUUAGGGCUAGCCUCGGGCAAUAGACAGUGGGGGUAGAGAGACUGAAUUGGAUGGGGGCCCUUCCCGGGUACCUCACCGAACCAAACUCCGAAUACCAUUGUCCGUACCCCGGGAGUCAGUCCGCGAGGGAUAAGCUUCGCGGUCGAGAGGGAAACAACCCAGACCACCUGCUAAGGUCCCCAAGUAAAACUCAGUCACUAAGGAAGUGAUUUUGCUAUGACAGCCAGGAUGUUGGCUUAGAAGCAGCCACCAUUUAAAAAGUGCGUAACAGCUUACUGGUCGAGCAAUUUUGCGCCGAUAAUGAACGGGAGUUAAGUUUUACACCGAAGCAGUGGGAUCCACUUUGUGGAUCGGUAGGAGAGCGCUGUACGUCAGAUACAAGUCGCACCGAAAGGAGCGAUGGUGGGGCGUACAGGUGAUUAUGCCGGAAUGAGUAACGAUAAAGCAGGUGAGAAUCCUGCUCGCCGAAAGCCUAAGGUUUCCUGGGGAAGGUAAAUCCGCCCAGGGUUAGCCGGUUCCUUAGUCGAGGCCGAAAGGCGUAGA